CCUACGGGAGACAGCAGUGAGGAAUAUUGGUCAAUGGGCGGAAGCCUGAACCAGCCAAGUAGCGUGCAGGAUGACGGCCCUACGGGUUGUAAACUGCUUUUAUACGGGAAUAACGCGCCUUACGUGUAGGGCUUUGCAUGUACCGUAUGAAUAAGGACCGGCUAAUUCCGUGCCAGCAGCCGCGGUAAUACGGAAGGUCCGGGCGUUAUCCGGAUUUAUUGGGUUUAAAGGGAGCGUAGGCCGCAUGUCAAGCGUGCUGUGAAAUGUCCGGGCUCAACCCGGGCCUUGAAGCGCGAACUGGCGUGCUUGAGUCCGCGGAAAGCAGGCGGAAGGCGCAGUGUAGCGGUGAAAUGCUUAGAUAUUGCGCAGAACUCCGAUUGCGAAGGCAGCAUACCGGCGGCGAUCUGACGCUGAGGCACGAAAGCGUGGGUAUCGAACAGGAUUAGAUACCCCUGUAGUC
RNAcentral lists this ribosomal RNA (460 nucleotides) under uncultured bacterium. Its description in RNAcentral is "partial 16S ribosomal RNA". It matches the Rfam family "Bacterial small subunit ribosomal RNA", at positions 338 to 795 of the family's 1533-position model. The record is from RNAcentral.